GACGAACGCUGGCGGCGUGCUUAACACAUGCAAGUCGAACGGAAAGGCCCUGCUUUUGUGGGGUGCUCGAGUGGCGAACGGGUGAGUAACACGUGAGUAACCUGCCCUUGACUUUGGGAUAACUUCAGGAAACUGGGGCUAAUACCGGAUAGGAGCUCCUGCUGCAUGGUGGGGGUUGGAAAGUUUCGGCGGUUGGGGAUGGACUCGCGGCUUAUCAGCUUGUUGGUGGGGCAGUGGCUUACCAAGGCUUUGACGGGUAGCCGGCCUGAGAGGGUGACCGGCCACAUUGGGACUGAGAUACGGCCCAGACUCCUACGGGAGGCAGCAGUGGGGAAUAUUGCACAAUGGGCGGAAGCCUGAUGCAGCAACGCCGCGUGCGGGAUGACGGCCUUCGGGUUGUAAACCGCUUUCGCCUGUGACGAAGCGUGAGUGACGGUAAUGGGUAGAGAAGCACCGGCUAACUACGUG
This 468-nucleotide ribosomal RNA is filed under the name uncultured bacterium. RNAcentral's name for it is "partial 16S ribosomal RNA". It matches the Rfam family "Bacterial small subunit ribosomal RNA", at positions 28 to 507 of the family's 1533-position model. The record is from RNAcentral.